GGCCUUGACAUACUAAGAACUUUCCAGAGAUGGAUUGGUGCCUUCGGGAACUUAGAUACAGGUGCUGCAUGGCUGUCGUCAGCUCGUGUCGUGAGAUGUUGGUUAAGUCCGCAACGAGCGCAACCCUUUUCCUUAUUUGCCAGCGGGUAAUGCCGGGAACUUUAAGGAUACUGCCAGUGACAAACUGGAGGAAGGCGGGGACGACGUCAAGUCAUCAUGGCCCUUACGGCCAGGGCUACACACGUGCUACAAUGGUCGGUACAAAGGGUUGCUACCUCGCGAGAGGAUGCUAAUCUCAAAAAGCCGAUCGUAGUCCGGAUCGCAGUCUGCAACUCGACUGCGUGAAGUCGGAAUCGCUAGUAAUCGCGGAUCAGAAUGCCGCGGUGAAUACGUUCCCGGGCCUUGUACACACCGCCCGUCACACCAUGGGAGUUUGUUGCACCAGAAGUAGGUAGUCUAACCGCAAGGAGGACGCUUACCACGGUGUGGCCGAUGACUGGGGUGAAGUCGUAACAAGGUAAGCGUAGAUGA
Molecule: ribosomal RNA, 531 nt
Filed under: uncultured bacterium
Lineage: Bacteria
Description: bacterial SSU rRNA
Rfam family: Bacterial small subunit ribosomal RNA
Source: RNAcentral